Molecule: ribosomal RNA, 303 nt
Filed under: uncultured bacterium
Lineage: Bacteria
Description: bacterial SSU rRNA
Rfam family: Bacterial small subunit ribosomal RNA
Source: RNAcentral
GUGCCUAACACAUGCAAGUCGAACGCGAAAGUCCCGCAAGGGAUCAGUAGAGUGGCAAACGGGUGAGUAACACGUGGGUGACCUGCCUUCGAGCGGGGGAUAACGUCCCGAAAGGGACGCUAAUACCGCAUAACAUCCUGCCUUUGAAGAGGUGGAAAUCAAAGCUAGGGAUCGUAAGACCUAGCACUCGAAGAGGGGCCCGCGCCUGAUUAGCUAGUUGGUGAGGUAAUGGCUCACCGAGGCAACGAUCAGUAUCCGGCCUGAGAGGGCGGACGGACACACUGGGACUGAGACACGGCCCAG